UCAGUCCAGACCCUGGGCACCCCCCUUUUGCCAGGAUCGUCCCCACCCAGCCUGGACACAUUGACUGAACUGUUUUCUAGGACACUGGAUUCAGGUCAGGUAUUACCUCCACCAAGAAGCCUUCCCUAAUGUUCUCAGCUUGGAUGAGAUGCUCCUCUUCUGAUAUUCUACAGGUCCUGUUUAUUCCUCUUCUACAGCAGUGCUCACGCUGUGUCACAAGGAUGUACUCAUAUCCUGCUCAUCAUUGCAUGUGAACUACUGGAGAUAACUAUCUAUAUACAUAUAUCACAUCUCCUAAUAUGCGAAGCACAAAGUAGGAACUCAAUAAACAUCAAACAUCCCACUUCCUUGGCAGUGGAUAGCAUGAAACUGUUUAUUGGCACUAACCUACGGAUAGUUAAUCAGACUGAUUGGUUCUCUGUUUCCUUCUUCUGAGAUUUUUACAUGUGAAUAAAAGUAGAUGGACUGAGAA
Molecule: long non-coding RNA, 472 nt
Filed under: Homo sapiens (human)
Lineage: Eukaryota; Metazoa; Chordata; Mammalia; Primates; Hominidae
Description: non-protein coding lnc-OMA1-4:1
Source: RNAcentral